AUGUUAAACUUUGGUGGUAGAGCACUGAAUAUGGAAUGGCCGCGCCUAGCGGUACUGACUAUAAUCAAACUCCGAAUACCAUUGUGUAUUAUCAUGCAGUCGGAACCGGGGUGCUAACGUCCCGGCUCGCGAGGGAAACAACCCAGAUCGUCAGCUAAGGUCCCAAAAUCGUGUUAAGUCAGAAAGGUUGUGAGAUUUCAUAAACAACUAGGAGGUUGGCUUAGAAGCAGCCAUCCUUUAAAGAGUGCGUAAUAGCUCACUAGUCAAGAGAUCUUGCGCCAAUAAUGUAACGGGAGUCAAACACGAUACCGAAGCUACGGGUACAUCUGUACGUUAGAGGAGCGUUCCUAGGGCGGUGAAGCUAAACCGUGAGGAUUAGUGGAGCGUUAGGAAGUGAGAAUGCCGGUAUGAGUAACGAUUCGUGGUGAGAAUCCACGACGCCUAUUGGGAAAGGUUUCCUGGGGAAGGUUCGUCCACCCAGGGUUAGUCAGGACCUAAGGAGAGGCUGAAAAGCGUAUUCGAUGGAUAACAGGUUAAUAUUCCUGUACUAUCUAUAAUUAGUGAUGGAAUGACGGAGAAGGAUAACAAUACCCAUUAUCGGAUUUGGGGGUAAGCAACGACUGGUCAAUGUAGUUAAAUGCGCAUUGUAUAACCGGGAUUUGUGAUGCAUAGUGAUUUAUUUCACGAAUUUUGUGAUUCCAUGCUUCCAAGAAAAGUUUCUAAGCGUUAUAAAA
Molecule: ribosomal RNA, 734 nt
Filed under: Mycoplasmopsis pullorum
Lineage: Bacteria; Bacillati; Mycoplasmatota; Mycoplasmoidales; Metamycoplasmataceae
Description: Mycoplasma pullorum partial 23S ribosomal RNA
Rfam family: Bacterial large subunit ribosomal RNA
Source: RNAcentral